GGGCGAGCGCAGGAUCGUGGCCUGUGUCCCCUGGCACCCUGGGACCCAGGGCCUGUGCUGCUGGAAUUACGCUCCUGGAGCCCCGCAGUCCUCU
RNAcentral lists this microRNA precursor (94 nucleotides) under Canis lupus familiaris (dog). Its description in RNAcentral is "mir-8799 microRNA precursor family". It matches the Rfam family "mir-8799 microRNA precursor family". Lineage: Eukaryota; Metazoa; Chordata; Mammalia; Carnivora; Canidae. RNAcentral also lists the same sequence under 1 other name. The record is from Rfam by way of RNAcentral.